Non-coding RNA from Bombardia bombarda, 95 nucleotides. The record is from the annotation of a GenBank genome assembly. Lineage: Eukaryota; Fungi; Ascomycota; Sordariomycetes; Sordariales; Lasiosphaeriaceae.
GCCCGAUUAGCUCAGCUGGUUAGAGCGUCGUACUAAUAGUCACCUGUGUCUAUCAAGUAAUGCGAAGGUCAACAGUUCAAUCCUGUUAUUGGGCA